UACGAAUGGAGCGAGCGUUGUUCGGCAUCACUGGGCUUAAAGCGUGCGUAGGCGGUCAUGAAAGUCAGAAGUGAAAGCCCUGGGCUUAACCCGGGAAUUGCUUUUGAAACUCCGUGACUAGAAACCGGGAGAGGUUAGCAGAAUUCCGAGUGUAGAGGUGAAAUUCGCAGAUAUUCGGAGGAAUACCAGUGGCGAAGGCGGCUAACUGGACCGGUAUUGACGCUGAGGCACGAAAGCGUGGGUAGCAAACAGG
This 253-nucleotide ribosomal RNA is filed under the name uncultured bacterium. Its description in RNAcentral is "partial 16S ribosomal RNA". It matches the Rfam family "Bacterial small subunit ribosomal RNA", at positions 524 to 776 of the family's 1533-position model. The record is from RNAcentral.